CCUACGGGAGGCAGCAGUGAGGAAUAUUGGUCAAUGGACGAGAGUCUGAACCAGCCAAGUAGCGUGAAGGAUGACUGCCCUAUGGGUUGUAAACUUCUUUUAUAUGGGAAUAAAAUGUUCCACGUGUGGGAUUUUGUAUGUACAAUAUGAAUAAGGAUCGGCUAACUCCGUGCCAGCAGCCGCGGUAAUACGGAGGAUCCGAGCGUUAUCCGGAUUUAUUGGGUUUAAAGGGAGCGUAGGUGGGUUGUUAAGUCAGUUGUGAAAGUUUGCGGCUCAACCGUAAAAUUGCAGUUGAAACUGGCAGUCUUGAGUACAGUAGAGGUGGGCGGAAUUCGUGGUGUAGCGGUGAAAUGCUUAGAUAUCACGAAGAACUCCGAUUGCGAAGGCAGUUCACUGGACUGCAACUGACACUGAGGCUCGAAAGUGUGGGUAUCAAACAGGAUUAGAUACCCGUGUAGUC
RNAcentral lists this ribosomal RNA (460 nucleotides) under uncultured bacterium. RNAcentral's name for it is "partial 16S ribosomal RNA". It matches the Rfam family "Bacterial small subunit ribosomal RNA", at positions 338 to 795 of the family's 1533-position model. The record is from RNAcentral.